This 812-nucleotide long non-coding RNA is filed under the name Camelus dromedarius (Arabian camel). RNAcentral describes it as "lncRNA (ENSCDRG00005008214.1)". Lineage: Eukaryota; Metazoa; Chordata; Mammalia; Artiodactyla; Camelidae. The record is from RNAcentral.
GGGGCGGGGCCAACGUGGGCCUGUGUGCGUGCGUGUAUGUGCGUAUGCGUAUGUGUGUGAGACUUAGAAGGAGAGUGUGUUUUCGCGCGCGAGUGUUUGUGAGAAAGACUGAGAGUGUGUGAGACUACAUUAUGUGAGAAAGACUUUGAGAGCGUGUGACACUAUGUGUGUGAAAGAGAUUGUAUAUGAGAGGCUCUGUGUAUGUGUGUGUGAGACUGUGAGAGAUUGUGUAUGAGAAAAAUUGUAUGUGCAUGAGACUGAGAGCUCACUUGGGUGUGAAAGACUGAUAGAAAGGGACUGUGUGAGAGAGAGUCUGUGAGAGAUACGGUGUGUUUAAGAGUGCGUUUAAGAGGGAGAGAGAACAGCGUGUGUCGGUGUGUAUGAGGGAGAAGCAAACACACACACACAGAAUUCUACAUUCCAUCAGGGCCCCUCUGUGCUUGCCUGGCACUGGCGGUGUGCCCGGGUGUGCUGCUGGCUGCCUGUCCUGAGUAGCUGUCCAUCCUUUGCAAGUAUGAUCUCCCACUCCUCUGGAGAAGAAUGAUAAGAGGGAAUUCCCGAGUAGCAACUUUCAAGGAUGAAUCGACCCACUGCAAUUGCAUCUUAGCCAUUAACCAAUGACUCAGGACCUUGAUAUAACCUUGAAGCCUGUGGAUAUUGCAGUGAUACCUCUCCUGCAAGCGGAACAGGGAUCUGCUAAAGCCUUAAGGAAUGUGAGGGGUUACCUCUUGUGGGAGGAGGAAGUUGGCUCUUUGAAAGUCACGAAGCAGCUUUCUAUUUCUGGAAUGUCCAAAUUUAUGAAGAAUAUAUUA